This 21-nucleotide small nuclear RNA is filed under the name Arabidopsis thaliana (thale cress). Its description in RNAcentral is "snRNA_13076". Lineage: Eukaryota; Viridiplantae; Streptophyta; Magnoliopsida; Brassicales; Brassicaceae. The record is from RNAcentral.
AAUGGAUCCGUAACUUCGGGA